AUGAUUGACACAAACUGCCCAAUUAUGAGCUGGAACGUACGAGGGCUCAACUCGCCGGCCUGGCAAGCAGUAGUGAACGAGAUGGCGGAGACACACAAGCCCGCUCUUCUCUGUCUCCAAGAGACAAAGAUCAACGUUUGGAGCAGAUCACUAGUUAGGGAGGUGGGCGGAGCCAGACUAACAGACUGCGUCGUCCUCCUGGCCACGGGCACUAGGGGAGGCGCGGUGAUCUUCUGGGACAUGAGCCGUGUAGAGGUGCAAUCCCACGCCAUUGGUCGUUUCUCCAUCAUAGCCAAGAUCACUCUUGCAGCAACAUCAACAUCUUUCUGGAUGACGACGGUGUACGGGCCAGUCGACGAUGGGAGGAAAGAUGAGUUCCUGGCUGAGCUAGCACAAACAGCGUCGACCCCAAACGAUCCCUGGCUCAUUAACAACGACUUCAACCCAAUCUACGAAGCGUGAGAUAAGAACAACAACAACAUAAACCGUAGGAUCGUGGGCAAAUUUUGGGCUGCAAUCAACAUGGCGGGGCUCAAGGAGAUCAAAUGC
Molecule: ribosomal RNA, 549 nt
Filed under: Triticum aestivum (bread wheat)
Lineage: Eukaryota; Viridiplantae; Streptophyta; Magnoliopsida; Poales; Poaceae
Description: partial small subunit ribosomal RNA
Source: RNAcentral